UACGGAGGAUCCGAGCGUUAUCCGGAUUUAUUGGGUUUAAAGGGAGCGUAGGUGGAUUGUUAAGUCAGUUGAGAAAGUUUGCGGCUCAACCGUAAAAUUGCAGUUGAAACUGGCAGUCUUGAGUACAGUAGAGGUGGGCGGAAUUCGUGGUGUAGCGGUGAAAUGCUUAGAUAUCACGAAGAACUCCGAUUGCGAAGGCAGCUCACUGGACUGCAACUGACACUGAGGUUCGAAAGCGUGGGUAGCAAACAGG
Molecule: ribosomal RNA, 253 nt
Filed under: uncultured bacterium
Lineage: Bacteria
Description: partial 16S ribosomal RNA
Rfam family: Bacterial small subunit ribosomal RNA
Source: RNAcentral